Molecule: ribosomal RNA, 433 nt
Filed under: uncultured fungus
Lineage: Eukaryota; Fungi
Description: eukaryotic LSU rRNA
Rfam family: 5.8S ribosomal RNA (bases 1-113)
Source: RNAcentral
AACGCAGCGAAGGGCGAUACGUAAUGUGAAUUGCAGAAUUCAGUGAAUCAUCGAAUCUUUGAACGCACCUUGCGCCCCUUGGCAUUCCGAGGGGCACACCCGUUUGAGUGUCGUGAAAUCAUCAAAACCUUUUCUUUGAUCCUUUUUGGUCAGGAAAAGGAUUUUUGGACUUGGAGGUUCCAUGCUUGCUUUUUGCUUAUGAAAGUGAGCUCCUCUCAAAUAAAUUAGUGGGGUCUGCUUUGCUGAUCCUUGAUGUGAUAAGAUGUUUCUACAUUUUGGAUUUAGCACUGUCCCUUGGACGCCUGCUCCUAACUGUCUUUUGGUACAAUGAUGGUGCUUCGGUUGCCGCCAUUUAUGUUGGCGGGAGGCUGAACCCACCAAAAANAAAAAAAACCUUGACCUCAAAUCGGGUGAGACUACCCGCUGAACUUAA